GUGGAUUAGUGGCGAACGGGUGAGUAACACGUGAGUAACCUGCCCUUAACUCUGGGAUAAGCCUGGGAAACUGGGUCUAAUACCGGAUAGGAGCGUCCACCGCAUGGUGGGUGUUGGAAAGAUUUAUCGGUUUUGGAUGGACUCGCGGCCUAUCAGCUUGUUGGUGAGGUAAUGGCUCACCAAGGCGACGACGGGUAGCCGGCCUGAGAGGGUGACCGGCCACACUGGGACUGAGACACGGCCCAGACUCCUACGGGAGGCAGCAGUGGGGAAUAUUGCACAAUGGGCGAAAGCCUGAUGCAGCGACGCCGCGUGAGGGAUGACGGCCUUCGGGUUGUAAACCUCUUUCAGUAGGGAAGAAGCGAAAGUGACGGUACCUGCAGAAGAAGCACCGGCUAACUACGUGCCAGCAGCCGCGGUAAUACGUAGGGUGCGAGCGUUAUCCGGAAUUAUUGGGCGUAAAGAGCUCGUAGGCGGUUUGUCGCGUCUGUCGUGAAAGUCCGGGGCUUAACCCCGGAUCUGCGGUGGGUACGGGCAGACUAGAGUGCAGUAGGGGAGACUGGAAUUCCUGGUGUAGCGGUGGAAUGCGCAGAUAUCAGGAGGAACACCGAUGGCGAAGGCAGGUCUCUGGGCUGUAACUGACGCUGAGGAGCGAAAGCAUGAGGAGCGAACAGGAUUAGAUACCCUGGUAGUCCAUGCCGUAAACGUUGGGCACUAGGUGUGGGGACCAUUCCACGGUUUCCGCGCCGCAGCUAACGCAUUAAGUGCCCCGCCUGGGGAGUACGGCCGCAAGGCUAAAACUCAAAGGAAUUGACGGGCGCC
This 822-nucleotide ribosomal RNA is filed under the name Micrococcus luteus. Its description in RNAcentral is "bacterial SSU rRNA". It matches the Rfam family "Bacterial small subunit ribosomal RNA", at positions 87 to 921 of the family's 1533-position model. Lineage: Bacteria; Bacillati; Actinomycetota; Actinomycetes; Micrococcales; Micrococcaceae. The record is from RNAcentral.